RNAcentral lists this ribosomal RNA (597 nucleotides) under Cryptococcus sp. SG02-015. RNAcentral's name for it is "eukaryotic LSU rRNA". It matches the Rfam family "Eukaryotic large subunit ribosomal RNA", at positions 52 to 639 of the family's 3401-position model. The record is from RNAcentral. Lineage: Eukaryota; Fungi; Basidiomycota; Tremellomycetes; Tremellales; Cryptococcaceae.
GGAGGAAAAGAAACUAACAAGGAUUCCCCUAGUAACGGCGAGUGAAGCGGGAAGAGCUCAAAUUUGAAAUCUGGUAGCCUUCGGUUGCCCGAGUUGUAAUCUAGAGAAGUGUUUUCCGCGUUGGCCCAUGUACAAGUCCCUUGGAACAGGGCGUCAUAGAGGGUGAGAAUCCCGUCCUUGACAUGGACCCCCAAUGCUUUGUGAUACACUUUCAACGAGUCGAGUUGUUUGGGAAUGCAGCUCAAAAUGGGUGGUGAAUUCCAUCUAAAGCUAAAUAUUGGCGAGAGACCGAUAGCGAACAAGUACCGUGAGGGAAAGAUGAAAAGCACUUUGGAAAGAGAGUUAAACAGUACGUGAAAUUGUUGAAAGGGAAACGAUUGAAGUCAGUCAUGCUCUUUGGUUUAAGCCGUUCUGCGGUGUAUAUCAUUGAGUGGGGUCAACAUCAGUUUUGACCGCUGGAAAAGGGCAGGAGGAAGGUAGCACCCCCGGGUGAACUUAUAGCCUCUUGUCGUAUACAGUGGUUGGGACUGAGGAACGCAGCAUGCCUUUUGGCCGGGAUUCGUCCACGUACAUGCUUAGGAUGUUGACAUAAUGGCU